RNAcentral lists this transfer RNA (85 nucleotides) under bacterium. RNAcentral's name for it is "tRNA-Leu". It matches the Rfam family "tRNA". From Rfam's summary of the family: Transfer RNA (tRNA) molecules are approximately 80 nucleotides in length. Their secondary structure includes four short double-helical elements and three loops (D, anti-codon, and T loops). Further hydrogen bonds mediate the characteristic L-shaped molecular structure. tRNAs have two regions of fundamental functional importance: the anti-codon, which is responsible for specific mRNA codon recognition, and the 3' end, to which the tRNAs corresponding amino acid is attached (by aminoacyl-tRNA synthetases). tRNAs cope with the degeneracy of the genetic code in two manners: having more than one tRNA (with a specific anti-codon) for a particular amino acid; and 'wobble' base-pairing, i.e. permitting non-standard base-pairing at the 3rd anti-codon position. The record is from RNAcentral. RNAcentral also lists the same sequence under 3 other names.
GCGGUCGUGGCGGAAUUGGUAGACGCACUACCUUGAGGUGGUAGCGGGGCGACCCGUGAAAGUUCGAGUCUUUUCGACCGCACCA